AUUGAACGCUGGCGGCAGGCCUAACACAUGCAAGUCGAGCGGAUGAAGGGAGCUUGCUCCUGGAUUCAGCGGCGGACGGGUGAGUAAUGCCUAGGAAUCUGCCUGGUAGUGGGGGAUAACGUCCGGAAACGGGCGCUAAUACCGCAUACGUCCUGAGGGAGAAAGUGGGGGAUCUUCGGACCUUACGCUAUCAGAUGAGCCUAGGUCGGAUUAGCUAGUUGGUGGGGUAAAGGCCUACCAAGGCGACGAUCCGUAACUGGUCUGAGAGGAUGAUCAGUCACACUGGAACUGAGACACGGUCCAGACUCCUACGGGAGGCAGCAGUGGGGAAUAUUGGACAAUGGGCGAAAGCCUGAUCCAGCCAUGCCGCGUGUGUGAAGAAGGUCUUCGGAUUGUAAAGCCCUUUUAGUUGGGAAGAAGGGCAGUAAGUUAAUACCUUGCUGUUUUGACGUUACCAAAAGAAUAAGCACCGGCUAACUUCGUG
RNAcentral lists this ribosomal RNA (484 nucleotides) under uncultured bacterium. Its description in RNAcentral is "partial 16S ribosomal RNA". It matches the Rfam family "Bacterial small subunit ribosomal RNA", at positions 30 to 507 of the family's 1533-position model. The record is from RNAcentral.